CCAUUUAACAUUUUUAUAAACCAAUUGCAAUCAGGCAUCCUCAGCGACGCCAAAUGCGAUUGCAGCAAAAAUCGCCUCCUUCUUUUCUCUUGCUGCUAAGGGUACUUGACAUUAAACCAAGCAGGUCGAGAAUCUCGAAGGUUGAUACAGCGAAAUGCUUUUAAAUGGAGUAAAAUUCAGAGGUAGUCAGCGGAAGCCUCCUGGCCUUACCCGUUUUUUUCUGGAUUUUCGAAACGAACAGGAGGAUGGUCGGCGUUCGCCGGUCGGAGGCUUCCCUCCCCUCCCGGGGAGAUCCUCCAAGGGGGGGACGGUGACGGUGACGGUGGCCGGCGGCGGGCGCGAAAGAGAGAGGGGGUGGACGGAGGAGGAGACGUGCGGUGGGCCCGCGGCGGGACAGGUGGGACGCGCAAAGGAAGGAGGGCGAAUUUUUUAAGUUGGAAUGAUUUUUGCCGAUUUUAUUGAUGCCCGGCUCGGGCCUAGCUGUCCGCCAGUAUCCUUGUUAUCUUUCUUUCUUUCUUUUCUAUUUCUUUGCUUCCCAGAUUAUUAUUCACGUCCUGUCUGUUU
Molecule: long non-coding RNA, 564 nt
Filed under: Triticum aestivum (bread wheat)
Lineage: Eukaryota; Viridiplantae; Streptophyta; Magnoliopsida; Poales; Poaceae
Description: long non-coding RNA (TAES_LNC027514)
Source: RNAcentral